AUCAUCCAGAGCAGCUGAAGGACUGGCCUAAUGACGCUGCGGCAACCUCCUAUAGGAACGGUGCCAAUUCCAGCAGGAUUUUUACCUGACAGAUGAG
This 97-nucleotide non-coding RNA is filed under the name uncultured Megasphaera sp. Its description in RNAcentral is "SAM riboswitch (S box leader)". It matches the Rfam family "SAM riboswitch aptamer (S box leader)". Rfam says of the family: The SAM riboswitch is found upstream of a number of genes which code for proteins involved in methionine or cysteine biosynthesis in Gram-positive bacteria. The SAM riboswitch acts at the level of transcription termination control. Lineage: Bacteria; Bacillati; Bacillota; Negativicutes; Veillonellales; Veillonellaceae. The record is from RNAcentral.